AUUGAACGCUGGCGGCAGGCUUAACACAUGCAAGUCGAGCGGGGUGAUGGUGCUUGCACUAUCACUUAGCGGCGGACGGGUGAGUAAUGCUUAGGAAUCUGCCUAUUAGUGGGGGACAACAUCUCGAAAGGGAUGCUAAUACCGCAUACGUCCUACGGGAGAAAGCAGGGGAUCACUUGUGACCUUGCGCUAAUAGAUGAGCCUAAGUCGGAUUAGCUAGUUGGUGGGGUAAAGGCCUACCAAGGCGACGAUCUGUAGCGGGUCUGAGAGGGUGAGCCGCCAAACUGGGACUGGGAAACCGCCCAGACUCCUACGGGACGCAGCAGUGGGGAAUAUUGGACAAUGGGGGGAACCCUGAUCCAGCCAUGCCGCGUGUGUGAAGAAGGCCUUAUGGUUGUAAAGCACUUUAAGCGAGGAGGAGGCUCUUUUGGUUAAUACCCAAGAUGAGUGGACGUUACUCGCAGAAUAAGCACCGGCUAACUCUGUGCCAGCAGCCGCCGUAA
This 503-nucleotide ribosomal RNA is filed under the name uncultured bacterium. RNAcentral's name for it is "partial 16S ribosomal RNA". It matches the Rfam family "Bacterial small subunit ribosomal RNA", at positions 30 to 523 of the family's 1533-position model. The record is from RNAcentral.